RNAcentral lists this small RNA (543 nucleotides) under Pan troglodytes (chimpanzee). Its description in RNAcentral is "retained intron". The record is from RNAcentral. Lineage: Eukaryota; Metazoa; Chordata; Mammalia; Primates; Hominidae.
AGCAUCCUCCCUGGGGAGCUCCGGACCUGGGUGCAGCUGCAUCACCCUGAGAGUGGUGAGGAGGCUGUGGCUGUGGUGGAGGAUUUCCAGAGACACCUCAGUGGACCAGAGGAGGUUUCAGCCCCAGCACAGAAACAGGAAAUGCAUUUUGAGGAGACAACAGCUCUGGGUACAACAAAGGAAUCUCCUACAUCACCCCUCAGUGGGGGCUCAGCCCCUGGAGCCCACCUGGAGCCUCCUUAUGACCCAGGGACACACCACCUCCCCAAUGGGGACUUCGCUCAAUGUACUUCUCCAGUUCCUACCCUUCCUCAAGUGGGGAACUCAGGAGACCAAGCAGGGGCAACUGUACUUCGGAUGGUCAGGCCCCAGGAUACUGUGGCAUAUGAGGACCUAUCUGUAGACUACACUCAGAAGAAAUGGAAAGGUCUCACACUCAGUCAGAGAGCCCUGCAGUGGAACAUGAUGCCAGAAAAUCACCAUAGCAUGGCCUCCUUGGGUAAUGAUUCUGUUUCCUAGUCACUUAAAGUCUGCAUGCUGCAC